Molecule: unclassified non-coding RNA, 552 nt
Filed under: Hevea brasiliensis (rubber tree)
Lineage: Eukaryota; Viridiplantae; Streptophyta; Magnoliopsida; Malpighiales; Euphorbiaceae
Source: RNAcentral
ACUGAAAUUUUUGAUUUUCUAGUUGAUAUUGUGCCAAGGGAGGAUUUGAAAGAUGAAGUGCUGGCAUCUGUCCCAAGAGGGAGUCUUCCAGUUGGAGGCCCAGCUGAAGCUAUCCCUUACUAUUACAUGUCACCUCAGUUUGCUCCACAGGUCGCUGCUCCAGGGAUGAAUGUCGGUCAGCCUUUGGUGGAUCAAAAUCUCUACGGCCAACAUACUCGUCCUUAUGUUGCACAGCCAAUUUGGCCACAGCAACAACAGCAGCCGCCUGCAGACUCUUGAGCAAACAGUAGAGUUGCAGUAGUAAAAAAACCUGAAGCAGAAUGGGAGUAAAUUGAUUGUCUUAGUUUUUGUUUGAAGUUUUAAAGGUUACUUACUCGUUUUUAUUUAAGUCAUGCUUCAGGUUGGUCCUAAUAGUUUUGAUGCUUUCAUUUUGUCAAGUUAUAUAGCCAAGAAUAUUGGUUCAGCUGUUGUAGAUAAUUUUAUGGGUUAAAAAAAAUAAAGAUUUCGCAGCUCCUUUCAUGUUAUUCAGUAAUUUUUUUACGUUUAAUAAAA